UUUAUUUAUUUUAUUAUAAUUGUUUUUUGUUAGUUUAUUUUUUAAUAAAAGAAAUUUUAUUUAUUAUUUUGUCUUAGUAUAUUUUAUAGAAUUGAUUAUUUUUAUUAUAGUUUAAUAGUAAUGUAAUUGGAUUAUGAAAUAAUUUUUUAAUUAUCAAAAAGUAGAUUUAAUUUGUUGUACCUUUUGUAUCAGGGUUUAUUAAAUUUUUAGUAUUUAUUUACUAAUCUCGAUUUAGGUUGAUUUACAAAUAAAUUAAAGUUAAUGUGUCAUAAUUAUUUUUAAUUUAUUUGUAGAAAUGAAAUGUUAAUCGUUUCCUAAUAUAUCUAGUUUCUUAAGAAAAAAUUUAAUUUUUUAAAGUUAAUAGUUUUUAUUUACUUUUUUAUAUAGAAAUGUUAACUUAUUUAUUCUUUAGGGGAUAAGCUCUAGAGUUUUCCUAUAAUUUUAUUAAUUUUGAUUUAAUAGUAAGCUUUAAACCAGCUAUCUUUUUGAUUACGUUUUAGUUCAUUAUUUAUUAUUUUGAUUUUGUAAAUAUUUUAGGUUUUAUAUUAAGAUUAUUAAUUUAAUUUUUAAAUUAUUGUAAUAAUGAUAGAAUUAGUAUAUAUAUUUAUUGUUUAUAAUAUUUUAUUAUGUUAAUUUAUUAUAAGGAAUUAGGCAAAAUUGAUUUCCGCCUGUUUAUCAAAAACAU
RNAcentral lists this ribosomal RNA (685 nucleotides) under Hesperotettix viridis (snakeweed grasshopper). RNAcentral describes it as "partial 16S ribosomal RNA". The record is from RNAcentral. Lineage: Eukaryota; Metazoa; Arthropoda; Insecta; Orthoptera; Acrididae.